AUUUAAAUAGCUUAUAAAAAGAGUAUGAUAUUGAAGAUAUCAGGGAGAUUAAAUAAUCUUUAAAUA
This 66-nucleotide transfer RNA is filed under the name unidentified. RNAcentral describes it as "Linoclostis gonatias tRNA-Phe". The record is from RNAcentral.